GAUGAACGCUGGCGGCGUGCCUAAUACAUGCAAGUCGAGCGAAUGGAUUGAGAGCUUGCUCUUAUGAAGUUAGCGGCGGACGGGUGAGUAACACGUGGGUAACCUGCCCAUAAGACUGGGAUAACUCCGGGAAACCGGGGCUAAUACCGGAUAACAUUUUGAACCGCAUGGUUCGAAAUGGAAAGGCGGCUUGGGCUGUCACUUCUGGAUGGACCCGCGUCGCAUUAGCUAGUUGGUGAGGUAACGGCUCACCAAGGCAACGAUGCGUAGCCGACCUGAGAGGUGAUCGGCCACACUGGGACUGAGACACGGCCCAGACUCCUACGGGAGGCAGCAGUAGGGAAUCUUCCGCAAUGGACGAAAGUCUGACGGAGCAACGCCGCGUGAGUGAUGAAGGCUUUCGGGUCGUAAAACUCUGUUGUUAGGGAAGAACAAGUGCUAGUUGAAUAAGCUGGCACCUUGACGGUACCUAACCAGAAAGCCACGGCUAACUACGUGCCAGCCGCCGCCGUAA
This 514-nucleotide ribosomal RNA is filed under the name uncultured bacterium. Its description in RNAcentral is "partial 16S ribosomal RNA". It matches the Rfam family "Bacterial small subunit ribosomal RNA", at positions 28 to 523 of the family's 1533-position model. The record is from RNAcentral.